CCUACGGGUGGCAGCAGUGAGGAAUAUUGGUCAAUGGCCGAGAGGCUGAACCAGCGAAGUCGCGUGAGGGAAGAAUGUCCUAUGGAUUGUAAACCUCUUUUCUCAGGGAGCAAAGUCACCCACGUGUGGGUGUUGUAGAGUAUCUGAAGAAACAGCAUCGGCUAACCCCGGUCCAGAACCCGCGGUAAUACGGGGGAUGCGAUAGUUAUCCGGAUGAGUUGGGUUAAAGGGGUGCGUAGGCGGGUUACAAAGCUAGAGGUAAAAUCGUGGAGUUCAACUCCAUACAGCUGUGGAAACUGGUGAUCUGGAGUGGGCGAGAGGGAUGUGGAAUGCGUGGUGUAGCGGUAAAAUGCAUAGAUAUAAGGCAGAACUCCGGUGGCGAAGGCAGCAUACCGGCGCGCGGCUGACGCUGAAGCACGAAAGCGUGGGUAUCGAACAGGAUUAGAUACCCCAGUAGUC
RNAcentral lists this ribosomal RNA (459 nucleotides) under uncultured bacterium. Its description in RNAcentral is "partial 16S ribosomal RNA". It matches the Rfam family "Bacterial small subunit ribosomal RNA", at positions 338 to 795 of the family's 1533-position model. The record is from RNAcentral.